GAGAAUUCACGUGGAGGAACACACACCACACUUGGAGGAGACUUCUGAAAACUUCGAAUUGGGAGGGCGAUCCUCCCGGUGAACUGACCGUACCCCAAACCGACACAGGUGAACAAGUAGAGUAUACUAGGGCGCUUGAGAGAACCAUGUCGAAGGAACUCGGCAAAAUGACCCCGUAACUUCGGGAGAAGGGGUGCUCUCCUAUCUUUUGAUUAGGAAAGCGGCACAUACCAGGGGGUAGCGACUGGUGGUAACACGAUGUCUUCUCUUCCUUUAAUCUCA
Nicotiana attenuata is the source of this 282-nucleotide ribosomal RNA. It matches the Rfam family "Bacterial large subunit ribosomal RNA", at positions 1311 to 2035 of the family's 2925-position model. The record is from Rfam. NCBI's taxonomy places the organism in Eukaryota, Viridiplantae, Streptophyta, Magnoliopsida, Solanales, Solanaceae.